Molecule: ribosomal RNA, 202 nt
Filed under: Triticum aestivum (bread wheat)
Lineage: Eukaryota; Viridiplantae; Streptophyta; Magnoliopsida; Poales; Poaceae
Description: partial small subunit ribosomal RNA
Source: RNAcentral
AUAUAUAUCUCCGUUACGGCACCGAAUGUUCUGCUUUAGCUCUCUCUUGCUAGCAAUGUCCUUUGCUAGCCAUGUCCUCCUAAUGCUCCCUCUCUAUUGUCUUCUUCUCUAUCUCUUCCCAUGUUCCAAACUUUCUAUAGAUAGGGAUAUGUCUAUAGAUAGGGAUAUGUUGAGAUAGAGAUUGAUUGGUUGAUAAAGUUGU